UACUAAGAAGACCCGGAUUUUGAUCCUGAAAUGCAAAUGAUAGGAUAUGAUAUGAGAUGAAUGCCUGAAUGAAUGACUCUUUUUAUUUGAUUUGCUAGGGACAUGAUCGGACAUAAGAUAAACCCUAGCAUGAUGCUUUAUGAUGGAUACAGAAUGAAACAAAGAUCUGCGGGGAAUGCUGAUGGUCUACAGGGAGACAGACAAAUGGUAAAAAAACAACUUGCUGGGGAAAAC
Molecule: long non-coding RNA, 234 nt
Filed under: Lathyrus oleraceus (garden pea)
Lineage: Eukaryota; Viridiplantae; Streptophyta; Magnoliopsida; Fabales; Fabaceae
Description: Pisum sativum (pea) long non-coding RNA (PSAT_LNC035393)
Source: RNAcentral